Molecule: long non-coding RNA, 966 nt
Organism: Manacus vitellinus (golden-collared manakin)
Lineage: Eukaryota; Metazoa; Chordata; Aves; Passeriformes; Pipridae
Exons: 2
Source: RefSeq, a predicted model, not a curated record
CCGAAUUGAUUCUGUGAUUACGGGGCAACCUUUAAUUCCAAAAUAAAAACCAGGAGUAAUGUCUCCUGGUCCUGGUUUGGGCCAGGACAGGCUUAAUUUUUUGCAGUAGCCUGGAGGGGGCAUGGUCAGGACAUGGAGGUUAUUCUGUACCUCCUUACAGGUUAUUCUGUACCACCUCGUGGCAUUGCUGGGGGCAGGGAAAAGGGACUCUCCGUUUCAGGAAAAGGCGCUCGUUGCAAGGGAAAGGCAAUCUCACUUUCAUGAAAUGAGAAUUUUUUUUUCUUAUGAAUAGUUUCUUUUCAUAUACUCUCUGUCAUUACUAUUGUUGCUAUUCCUGUUAGUUUUCUUAUCUUGUUGCUGUUUCCAGUAAAUUGUUCUUAUCUCAACCCAUGAUCUUUGCAUUUUGUACCUCUAAUUCUCAAUUCCAUCCCACCAAAGCAGGAAGGGGAAGAGAGAGAAAGAGCACAGAGUGCAGUUUUUGGAGAGCCUCAGUGGGGGCACUGAAUUGGAGAGUACCAUUUCUAAACCACAACACCUGAGGAGAGCCUGAAGCUUUGAGAUGGCACAUUGGGAAGCCUAAGCCAACUGUUCCUGCUGCAUGCAUGCCUGAAUUGAUUACAUUGUUCUGUGGAGCUCAGAGACUCUCCCUCCUGUUGGUCUGGCCCUGUGUGAAACAGGAAUUCACAGUACUAGAAUGAGUCAGAAGUGAAAGCCAGAGCCGCUCCCCCGAGCUUGGACAUCAAUUUGGAAACACCUAGAUCCCACUCUCAGUCCAAAUGGUUUGUGAGGGCAAGUGUUCCAGCUAAGAUCUUGCAGUUGGACACUUUGCCUUUGCUUGCAUCACUGGCAGCUCUCAUGUCAGGCUCAGAUCUUCAGGGCUAUUUUCAUGAGAUGAAAGAAAUCUUAAUUAAGUGUUCAUAUCUUUGUCAGCCAGACUCAGAAUAAAAAUUGAUGCGAUUCCCUUGA